This 550-nucleotide ribosomal RNA is filed under the name uncultured Glomus. Its description in RNAcentral is "SSU rRNA". It matches the Rfam family "Eukaryotic small subunit ribosomal RNA", at positions 548 to 1098 of the family's 1831-position model. The record is from RNAcentral. Lineage: Eukaryota; Fungi; Glomeromycota; Glomeromycetes; Glomerales; Glomeraceae.
UUGGAGGGCAAGUCUGGUGCCAGCAGCCCGCCGUAAUUCCAGCUCCAAUAGCGUAUAUUAAAGUUGUUGCAGUUAAAAAGCUCGUAGCUGAAUUUCGGGAUCAAUAUAUCGGUCGUGCCAUCGGUACGUACUGGUAUCAUUGGUUUCUCCUUUCUGACGAACCAUGAUGUCAUUAAUUUGGUGUUAUGGGAAGUUAGGACUGUUACUUUGAAAAAAUUAGAGUGUUUAAAGCAGGCUUUAGCUUGAAUACAUUAGCAUGGAAUAAUGAAAUAGGACGUUUGAUUCUAUUUUGUUGGUUUCUAGGAUCGACGUAAUGAUUAAUAGGGAUAGUUGGGGGCAUUAGUAUUCAAUUGUCAGAGGUGAAAUUCUUGGAUUUAUUGAAGACUAACUACUGCGAAAGCAUUUGCCAAGGAUGUUUUCAUUAAUCAAGAACGAAAGUUAGGGGAUCGAAGACGAUCAGAUACCGUCGUAGUCUUAACCAUAAACUAUGCCGACUAGGGAUCGGAUGAUGUUAAUUUUUUAAUGACUCAUUCGGCGCCUUACGGGAAAC